AGUGAACGCUGGCGGUAGGCCUAACACAUGCAAGUCGAACGGCAGCACAGUAAGAGCUUGCUCUUACGGGUGGCGAGUGGCGGACGGGUGAGGUAUACAUCGGAAUCUACUUUUUCGUGGGGGAUAACGUAGGGAAACUUACGCUAAUACCGCAUACGACCUACGGGUGAAAGCAGGGGAUCUUCGGACCUUGCGCGAUUGAAUGAGCGGAUGUCGGAUUAGCUAGUUGGCGGGGUAAAGGCCCACUAAGGCGGCGAUCCGUAGCUGGUCUGAGAGGAUGAUCAGCCACACUGGAAGUGAGACACGGUCCAGACUCCUACGGGAGGCAGCAGUGGGGAAUGUUGGACAAUGGGCGCAAGCCUGAUCCAGCCAUACCGCGUGGGUGAAGAAGGCCUUCGGGUUGUAAAGCCCUUUUGUUGGGAAAGAAAAGCAGCAGGUUAAUACGCCGCUGUUCUGACGGUACCCAAAGAAUAAGCACCGGCUAACUUCGUG
This 492-nucleotide ribosomal RNA is filed under the name uncultured bacterium. Its description in RNAcentral is "partial 16S ribosomal RNA". It matches the Rfam family "Bacterial small subunit ribosomal RNA", at positions 29 to 507 of the family's 1533-position model. The record is from RNAcentral.